Molecule: long non-coding RNA, 773 nt
Organism: Vicia villosa (hairy vetch)
Lineage: Eukaryota; Viridiplantae; Streptophyta; Magnoliopsida; Fabales; Fabaceae
Exons: 3
Source: RefSeq, a predicted model, not a curated record
CAUUGUUUCAACUUUCAAGGCCCAAACCAAUUCCAUAACCCGGUUACCAUUCUGAUUUUUGCGUGAGCAGCUAGGUUACCAACUUAUCACUAUUUCCAAAACAUCACCAUCGUUUCAAAUCCAAACAACAUGUUGCGCAACUAGGUUACCUUACCCUUACUAAGCGGAAUCGUUCCAAAUCGAAACAAGCACGAAGCACAAUCGUUCCAAUUCGAAACUCAGUUCCAAAUCACGCAAACACGAAGCACAAUCGUUCCAAAAUCGAAGCAAACACGAAGCAGAAGAAGACUUUGUCCGAUUGGAUCUUGCGGUGGGAAGAAGGUUUUGAAAGCUUCAGCAUUUUAUUCAAUCAUUAUCAAAACAUAUGUAUUAUUUAAAUCAAGCAUUUUAAUCAAGCAUUUCGUUUCGGAUUAUGUAUCAUUUAUCUGAUGUUGACCUCGAAUAUCUUACUAUUGUUUUAUUGAACUCCGGUAAACAUUUUGGAAUUUGGAAUUAGUCUUUUUAAUUGUGAAACUAAUUCAUGGCCUUACAUCUAUUGUUACAGUCAAAUAUGGCUGCAUCCUUUUCCAUUUCUAUGGCCGAAAAUCAGAUGUUAUGGAAGCAUUAGAAGCAUUGCAAGAAAAUGGAAGGAUUGGAAGCAUUAUUUAAUACUUAAUAUAUUAUUAUUAAGAAACAAGAAACAAGCAGUAUUGUGUUACAAUUUAUAUAUUAUGAGAGACUUGUUAUUUGGUAAUGUUAAAUGUGUGAAUGACUUGUUAUUUGGUAAUGUUAAA